RNAcentral lists this ribosomal RNA (263 nucleotides) under uncultured bacterium. RNAcentral's name for it is "partial 16S ribosomal RNA". It matches the Rfam family "Bacterial small subunit ribosomal RNA", at positions 793 to 1055 of the family's 1533-position model. The record is from RNAcentral.
GUCCACGCUGUAAACGAUGAAUACUAGGUGUGCGGGACUGACCCCUGCGUGCCGCAGUUAACACAAUAAGUAUUCCACCUGGGGAGUACGAUCGCAAGGUUGAAACUCAAAGGAAUUGACGGGGACCCGCACAAGCGGUGGAGUAUGUGGUUUAAUUCGUCGCAACGCGAAGAACCUUACCAGGCCUUGACAUGCCCUCUAUGGGGACCAGAGAUGGACCCCUUACUUCGGGUGGAGGAGCACAGGUGCUGCAUGGCUGUCGU